RNAcentral lists this ribosomal RNA (429 nucleotides) under Bacteroidota bacterium. RNAcentral describes it as "Bacteroidetes bacterium partial 16S ribosomal RNA". It matches the Rfam family "Bacterial small subunit ribosomal RNA", at positions 355 to 776 of the family's 1533-position model. The record is from RNAcentral. Lineage: Bacteria; Pseudomonadati; Bacteroidota.
UAGGGAAUCUUCCGCAAUGGACGCAAGUCUGACGGAGCAACGCCGCGUGAGUGAAGAAGGAUUUCGGUUCGUAAAACUCUGUUGUUAGAGAAGAACAGCGCAUAGAGUAACUGUUAUGCGUGUGACGGUAUCUAACCAGAAAGCCACGGCUAACUACGUGCCAGCAGCCGCGGUAAUACGUAGGUGGCAAGCGUUGUCCGGAUUUAUUGGGCGUAAAGCGAGCGCAGGCGGUCAAUUAAGUCUGAUGUGAAAGCCCCCGGCUCAACCGGGGAGGGUCAUUGGAAACUGGUUGACUUGAGUGCAGAAGAGGAGAGUGGAAUUCCAUGUGUGGCGGUGAAAUGCGUAGAUAUAUGGAGAAACACCAGUGGCGAAGGCGACUCUCUGGUCUGUAACUGACGCUGAGGCUCGAAAGCGUGGGUAGCAAACAGG